GAUGAACGCUGGCGGCGUGCCUAAUACAUGCAAGUCGAGCGAACGGACGAGAAGCUUGCUUCUCUGAUGUUAGCGGCGGACGGGUGAGUAACACGUGGAUAACCCACCUAUAAGACUGGGAUAACUUCGGGAAACCGUAGCUAAUACCGGAUAAUAUUUUGAACCGCAUGGUUCAAAAGUGAAAGACGGUCUUGCUGUCACUUAUAGAUGGAUCCGCGCUGCAUUAGCUAGUUGGUAAGGUAACGGCUUACCAAGGCAACGAUGCAUAGCCGACCUGAGAGGGUGAUCGGCCACACUGGAACUGAGACACGGUCCAGACUCCUACGGGAGGCAGCAGUAGGGAAUCUUCCGCAAUGGGCGAAAGCCUGACGGAGCAACGCCGCGUGAGUGAUGAAGGUCUUCGGAUCGUAAAACUCUGUUAUUAGGGAAGAACAUAUGUGUAAGUAACUGUGCACAUCUUGACAGUACCUAAUCAGAAAGCCACGGCUAACUACGUG
RNAcentral lists this ribosomal RNA (497 nucleotides) under uncultured bacterium. Its description in RNAcentral is "partial 16S ribosomal RNA". It matches the Rfam family "Bacterial small subunit ribosomal RNA", at positions 28 to 507 of the family's 1533-position model. The record is from RNAcentral.